AAAAUAUGAGAGUUUGAUCCUGGCUCAGGAUGAACGCUGGCGGCGUGCCUAAUACAUGCAAGUCGAGCGAACUCUGGUAAAUGAAUGAAGGUGCUUGCACCUGAGUGAUUUUACAUUUGAGUGAGCGGCGGAUGGGUGAGUAACACGUGGGUAACCUGCCCUAAAGUGGGGGAUAACAUCUGGAAACAGGUGCUAAUACCGCAUAACAACAAUUUUCACAUGAUUAUUGUUUGAAAGAUGGUUCUGCUAUCGCUUUAGGAUGGACCCGCGGCGUAUUAGUUAGUUGGUGAGGUAACGGCUCACCAAGACGAUGAUACGUAGCCGACCUGAGAGGGUAAUCGGCCACAUUGGGACUGAGACACGGCCCAAACUCCUACGGGAGGCAGCAGUAGGGAAUCUUCCACAAUGGACGAAAGUCUGAUGGAGCAACGCCGCGUGAGUGAAGAAGGUUUUCGGAUCGUAAAACUCUGUUGUUGAAGAAGAACAUGCAUGAGAGUAACUGUUCAUGUAUUGACGGUAUUCAACCAGAAAGCCACGGCUAACUACGUGCCAGCAGCCGCGGUAAUACGUAGGUGGCAAGCGUUAUCCGGAUUUAUUGGGCGUAAAGCGAGUGCAGGCGGUUUAUUAGGUCUGAUGUGAAAGCCCUCGGCUCAACCGAGGAAGUGCAUCGGAAACCGGUAAACUUGAGUGCAGAAGAGGAGAGUGGAACUCCAUGUGUAGCGGUGGAAUGCGUAGAUAUAUGGAAGAACACCAGUGGCGAAGGCGGCUCUCUGGUCUGUAACUGACGCUGAGGCUCGAAAGCGUGGGUAGCAAACAGGAUUAGAUACCCUGGUAGUCCACGCCGUAAACGAUGAGUGCUAAGUGUUGGGGGGUUUCCGCCCCUCAGUGCUGCAGCUAACGCAUUAAGCACUCCGCCUGGGGAGUACGACCGCAAGGUUGAAACUCAAAGGAAUUGACGGGGGCCCGCACAAGCGGUGGAGCAUGUGGUUUAAUUCGAAGCAACGCGAAGAACCUUACCAGGUCUUGACAUAUCUUGAAACACUAAGAGAUUAGUUUUUCCCUUCGGGGACAAGAAUACAGGUGGUGCAUGGUUGUCGUCAGCUCGUGUCGUGAGAUGUUGGGUUAAGUCCCGCAACGAGCGCAACCCUUAUUAUUAGUUGCCAGCAUUAAGUUGGGCACUCUAGUGAGACUGCCGGUGACAAACCGGAGGAAGGUGGGGACGACGUCAAAUCAUCAUGCCCCUUAUGACCUGGGCUACACACGUGCUACAAUGGUCGGUACAACGUGUUGCGAACUCGCGAGGGCAAGCAAAUCACUUAAAACCGAUCUCAGUUCGGAUUGUAGGCUGCAACUCGCCUACAUGAAGCUGGAAUCGCUAGUAAUCGCGGAUCAGCAUGCCGCGGUGAAUACGUUCCCGGGCCUUGUACACACCGCCCGUCACACCAUGAGAGUUUGUAACACCCAAAGCCGGUGGGGUAACCUUUUAGGAGCUAGCCGUCUAAGGUGGGACAAAUGAUUAGGGUGAAGUCGUAACAAGGUAGCCGUAGGAGAACCUGCGGCUGGAUCACCUCCUUUCUAAGGAA
Molecule: ribosomal RNA, 1583 nt
Rfam family: Bacterial small subunit ribosomal RNA